This 711-nucleotide long non-coding RNA is filed under the name Malus domestica (apple). RNAcentral's name for it is "long non-coding RNA (MDOM_LNC020283)". The record is from RNAcentral. Lineage: Eukaryota; Viridiplantae; Streptophyta; Magnoliopsida; Rosales; Rosaceae.
UUUGGAGCAUGUUUCGGGCUUGGAAUGGAUAGCAAAUACAUGGGCCAAGUGGAUGGACGAAUUUGAGAACUAAAGAGGCCAAAAAUAUGAAGAAUUAUGGUCCAAAAGAUGAAGAAAACAGCCCAAAAAUCUAUCACCCCAACUUGCAUUCCUUGCCAUGCAAACCACAUAGAAUUCCCUUUGGAUUCCAUGCCAUGCUUGAUCACUCUUGUCCCCUACAUAAUUUCUAAUUUCAUGCUUCAAUUCAUUUAAUUAUUACACUCAAUGGCUUGAUACCUCUUGUUCCCUUCACUCAUUAGAUUUUAGACAACAUUUACAUCAUCCAUUACAUGCACCAAUUGAUGCUCCAUCAUUCACAUUCACAUUGGAAUCCAAUGCCAUGUGCAACACAUGUUGUUGCACCUUUGACCCAUUUGUUGACACAUUUCACCUCCCUUUCCAUCUCUAUGCAAUGUACACAAUCAUUUCAUGCUCCCUAGCUACAACACCACUCCAUUUUACCUUUCACACUUUGCAUCAUUACUUCAUUUUCACCCUUGGACCAUUGCACACCACACACACAAAUUGCCAUGCAUUUCAUCCUUAACCUAACCUGAUUUUCUAAGGUUUUUGGGGCCUAUAAAUACAUGUUUACACCCCUUGUCCAAAGGACAAUCCCCCAUAUUCAUCAUUUUAUCACAAAAAUUCGUCCAUACACACCCUAGGAAGCAA